CACAGCUUCUUUAAUCAUCUGUUGAUGGACUCUUAGGUUGCUUCCAUGUUUUGAUUGUUGUAAGUAAUGCUGCUAUUGAUAAGGAAUCUACCGCCAUUUUAGAUGAGCUUCCCCAUUUUGAAUCUUUGCUUGCCUAACCAAACGCACAUCCUGCUUCUGUAACUCCGCCUGCUGCUUUCGCGCCACAGGAAAGUCCCGCCCUGUGUACUGUAAAGCUGCGCUGAGCUCGCAGUUGGGGGCCCAGAAUUUGGAGCCUGCCUCUUCUGGGUCUGCAUGUGUGAAAUAAAUUUAUCACUUCGCCUCCUCUGGUGUUCGAUUUGAGUCUUUCUGUAACAUUUUGGUUCUCUGACCGGGAAACGACUCACGCGAGCAGGCUUUUUGCCACCAGUGAGGGACCCGUGGGAGUCUGUGGAGCUCUGGGGCAGGGAGGGAAGCGUGUGCUCCGGUUAUUUCGGGUCCUAGCCCGUCCGGAGUUCCGCGGAAGGUCGCUGGCGGAGUCCACCCACCCAGGCUGUCGGAGGGGGUGAAUGAACCCGAACACGGGGACGAGAUCUCUUCAGGACUGAUUGCAGGAACAGCACCCUGGGUCCACCAUACCCGGGUUAAGGGAGCAGCGGAUCGCGAGGCCAACGAAGAUUCUGAGGACCAUUCCCGACUGCGGCUGCCCCCAUUGAAACUGAGGAAGGGACCAACCCGUGGAUGGACCAUUGUCCAGAAUGGUACCUCGCAGCCGCAGGACUCCUCGCCACCAUCUUCAGAAUAGGGCUAGUGACAACGGCACCCCCGGACUGGAACUUAUGGGAACGUUUAGCUCUCAGAGGACUAUACCUUGGUUUUGUUUGCUCAUGUGGCUAUGUAG
This is a non-coding RNA of Miniopterus natalensis, 859 nucleotides long. Lineage: Eukaryota; Metazoa; Chordata; Mammalia; Chiroptera; Miniopteridae. The record is from RefSeq and is a predicted model, not a curated record.